GAGUUUGAUUAUGGCUCAGGACGAACGCUGGCGGCGCGCUUAACACAUGCAAGUCGUGCGAUACCUCGAGCAAGUCUUACGACAAGCUCAAGGUGUAGCGGCGGACGGGUGAGUAACACGUGAGUAGCUGUCCUAAGGAGGGGGAUAACGCCUGGAAACGGGUGCUAAAACCCCAUAUGCCUCGCAAGAGGUGAAAGUGUAGCUUGCUACAGCCUUAGGGUGUGCUCGCGGCCUAUCAGCUAGUUGGUGAGGUAACGGCUCACCAAGGCUAAGACGGGUAGCCGGCCUGAGAGGGUGUACGGCCACACUGGAGUUGAGAUACGGUCCAGACUCCUACGGGAGGCAGCAGUGGGGAAUCUUGGGCAAUGGGGGAAACCCUGACCCAGCGACGCCGCGUGGAGGAAGGAGCCCUUCGGGGUGUAAACUCCUGUUGUAAGGGACGAAGAAAGUGACGGUACCCUACGAGGAAGCCCCGGCUAACUACGUGCCAGCAGCCGCGGUAAGACGUAGGGGGCGAGCGUUGUCCGGAAUUACUGGGCGUAAAGGGCACGCAGGCGGUGCGCCAAGUCGAGGGUGUAAAGUUACGGCUCAACCGUGACAUUGCAAUCGAUACUGGCGCACUGGAGUGCGGGAGAGGGAAGUGGAAUUCCCGGUGUAGCGGUGAAAUGCGUAGAUAUCGGGAGGAACGCCAGUGGCGAAGGCGGCUUCCUGGCCCGCGACUGACGCUCAUGUGCGAAAGCCAGGGGAGCGAACCGGAUUAGAUACCCUGGUAGUC
Molecule: ribosomal RNA, 775 nt
Filed under: uncultured Synergistota bacterium
Lineage: Bacteria; Thermotogati; Synergistota
Description: bacterial SSU rRNA
Rfam family: Bacterial small subunit ribosomal RNA
Source: RNAcentral